Molecule: ribosomal RNA, 421 nt
Filed under: uncultured bacterium
Lineage: Bacteria
Description: bacterial SSU rRNA
Rfam family: Bacterial small subunit ribosomal RNA
Source: RNAcentral
UAAGGAAUAUUGGUCAAUGGACGCAAGUCUGAACCAGCCAUGCCGCGUGAAGGAUGAAGGUCCUCUGGAUUGUAAACUUCUUUUAUCUGGGACGAAAACGGGAUUUUUAUCUCAAUUGACGGUACCAGAGGAAUAAGCACCGGCUAACUCCGUGCCAGCAGCCGCGGUAAUACGGAGGGUGCGAGCGUUAUCCGGAUUUACUGGGUUUAAAGGGUGCGUAGGUGGGCUUAUAAGUCAGUGGUGAAAUCUCCGAGCUUAACUUGGAAACUGCCGUUGAUACUAUAGGUCUUGAAUAUUGUGGAGGUAAGCGGAAUAUGUCAUGUAGCGGUGAAAUGCUUAGAUAUGACAUAGAACACCAAUUGCGAAGGCAGCUUACUACACAAUCAUUGACGCUGAGGCACGAAAGCGUGGGGAUCAAACA